GGUUCCGGUCAGGGUGCUGCCUCCCUAUCCACUGGGAGUCCUUUUGCGUUUCAGAUGCUCCCAGGCUCUCCCGCAGUUUAAAGACUUAACUCAGCGGCUUUCAGGGCCUGUGGUUGAGGGACUCCGAAAGAACUGUUGCUGGUGGACCGGUUCAGGGUCUUGACUUCGCCACACAAAAGAACUUGAGAGCACGUCCAAAGUAAAGCUAAGACCUCUAGUACAGUGUUCAAUGGAACUGGUGAGAAAAGACGUCCUUGCUGUGUUCCUGAUAUGAAGAGGAAAGCAGUCCUUCUCCAUUAAAUGCUGACAACAUGAGCCUCCCGUGGUCGGAACGGGCUUGUGAAGGCGGUGCUGGGGUGCACCAGGGCAGCAGCUACAGAGAUGACAGAAGAGACAUCCAGGAGUAGAUUUCAAUGCACAGCAGCAGCUGAGAGAAGCCAGCUGUGAAAAAGUUGCCAGGAGCAAAGCUACUGAGGCCCUGAAGAGCUCAUCAGGUGAUGACAGCGCCUGCUGGGAUGUCAGGGAAAAGAGGAGCUGGGGCCACUGGGCCUCUCUGACAAACAGAAAGCCAGGCCUGAAACCCGAGUAGCGUUUGUAUCCACCUCCCUCAGUCCAUGUGUGGCCGCCUGGCCGGCUGCUGUCUUAGUUCCUCCACGUGGCACUUGUUGAGCACCUGUCUCUGGCUGGAAUGCCGGGUGCCAGAAGAAACUCUGCAAGUAAAACUCAACCAUCCCAGGACACUGGAAAAUCACCACUGUGAUGGGCCAACUCUGGUUCCCAGUGACAUUGUAAGUUGCUCCCGAAUCGCCUUUUCCAAGGCUUAAUCGGCUGAAGUCGAUGUGCAGAAACUCAUCAACAGAACUUUCAGAAAGGAGAAGCGAAAAUGGGCUGCCCCGAAGAUGAGGUCUUGCACCUCGCCAAGUGGCUCCUAAAAGGCCACUUAUUGGAAGGAUCCCUGUCUUCUAAAGAAUUGAAAUUUCUUGGCCGGGCAUGUUGGCUCACGCCUGUAAUCCCAGCAAUUUGGGAGGCCAAAGCGGGUGGGUCACCUGAGGUCAGGAGUUCAAGACCAGCCUGGCCAACAUGGUGAAACCCCAUCUCUACUAAAAAUACAAAAAUUACCCGGGCAUGCUGGCAGGCACCUGUAAUCCUAGCUAAGGAGGCUGAGACAAGAGAAUUGCUUGAAUCUGGGAGGCGGAGGUUGCACUGAACCGAGAUUGUGCCAUUGCACUCCAGCCCGGGCUAAACUCUGUCUCAAAAAAAAAAAAAAAAAA
Molecule: long non-coding RNA, 1271 nt
Organism: Homo sapiens (human)
Lineage: Eukaryota; Metazoa; Chordata; Mammalia; Primates; Hominidae
Gene: MIR646HG
Product: MIR646 host gene
Source: Ensembl